Long non-coding RNA from Cyprinus carpio carpio, 1820 nucleotides. The record is from Ensembl. NCBI's taxonomy places the organism in Eukaryota, Metazoa, Chordata, Actinopteri, Cypriniformes, Cyprinidae.
AUGGAAAUGUUAACAGGAAAAAGAAAAAAUCCAUUUUAUUGUUUCAUUAUAUUAAUUUUAAAAACUGGUACCGGUAAAUCCAGCACGGUGAUCUCUAUUGAAUCAUUUUUACAACAUUUUUCCAUUACCAACGAGUGUAAAUCAUUGAAAUUUGUUGGUGUAAAAGAGUGGGAACCUCUUCUAAAGCAGCCGAAAGCACAAUCAUUGAAUUUUCUUUACUGUAUUUGUAUGUGACAAAAUAUCAAUCAUAUAGCAGAGCAAACCGCAGUAUAAUUCGAGGUUUGACCGAAUCCAAUAUCCAGUGGCUUCUCAAAACAGUUUAUGUGGUGUUAUCGUCUUACUAAAAGUUCCCAAAGUGUGCUAAAUGGGGUCAUUAGAGGCAAUAAGAGGGAAACCCCUGCUCUCCCAAGCUAUAAUAAAAACAAGAAACGCUCUUUCAUGUAUAGCCAGAAUAACCAGCCAGCCACCAGGGUUGCCAAGUGCACGCUUUCCCUGCAGAAUCAGGCUACUUUUAAACUCGGUUGGUUUUUGUUUCACAGAUUGCAUACUUUUUUUUCAUUGAAAUGUUUGCAUGAACAUGCACUCUUCCCAGUGUAUGGUUUCACAAACAGAGAAACUGUGUGCUUUGGGAACGUGUAGGUUUUUGUUCAGUUUGGGCUUCAAAUAGUAAAUGGAGGGCCAUAUAGUUUAGUCUCAGCCUCAGACGGCACACCCAUGAACCGCUGGCUGAACGUCUGAUGCACCACACACACAAAAUGGAAAACACUUCAGGAGUUUCAAAGUCGUCAUCUGAUUGGAUUAAUUCUAGGAUUUCCAGGACGGUACACAACGGCUGUUGUGACUCCAAAGCCCCUUUAUGGAAAAGAAAGUCGUGACAACUGUGAUGAUCAUUAUUUAUCAAAAUCAACAAAAUGCUGGAUUUCCAAAAGUAUUUGAAAUUCACAGUACCAUUAUUGCAGUAAACUUGCACAAUGUUUUACUAAAUGUAUACACAUUAUAUUUUAGAUGACGUAUUGCAGAUAUAAAAAGAGACUGCAGAGAAAUAAAAAACAGCUUCAACGGUUCAUUGCAUUCAGGAUUCUUUUGAUUAAAAUGAAAAACAGGCAUCUUAAAGCUUGGACUUUGUCAGGAAGUAUCUGCAGAAUAAACACUGCUGUCAUUCAUUCCCUAUUAUAUUGCAACUGAAUAAUACACUGAUAUUUAUAUCCAUCAUUCUAGAAAGUCUAUUCUCACUAACAAAAGUCGAGAGAAGAAAGAAGCGGGAAGCUGUUUGUUUCCAGUUCCAUUGGUUUGAAGCUGAAUUCUAAGGGAACGUCCGAUACACAAAGCUUUUUAUGAAAUCCUUUCAGUUCUCCUCAGUGAAGGUGAGCUCUAGUUCACUACAAUUCCUUUCAAACCUCAUGAAUAGCUACAUAACAGCUUCAUUCAAAUUGCAGUAGUGAUAUUGUUGCUUUAAAGGGUUAGUUCACCCAAAAAUGAAAAUUAGGCUGUUUUACUCACCCCCGAGGAAUUCUAGGUGUAUAUAGCCCCUUUCACACUGCACGUUGCACCCGGGAAAUUGCCAGAACAUUGCCGGGUCGCCUUCUGUGUGAACGCAAACACGUCCCGGGAUUGAUAGCUGAGAUCGUUUGCCAGCUUCAGUGAAAGUUAACAUGCCUAGCGUUUUCGUGUGAACACAAGCAAAUAUUCCGGGUAGUCACUGGCAGUGUGAAAGUGCAAAACUCAUUACCCAUGUAUUUUCCGGAAUCACAGUGUGAAAGGGCGGGUGUUGCAUUGCUUCAGUCCAAAAGAAGUUAAAUAAAAAGCGCCCUUCCAUUUAG